RNAcentral lists this ribosomal RNA (279 nucleotides) under uncultured bacterium. Its description in RNAcentral is "partial 16S ribosomal RNA". It matches the Rfam family "Bacterial small subunit ribosomal RNA", at positions 506 to 784 of the family's 1533-position model. The record is from RNAcentral.
UGCCAGCCGCCGCGGUAAUACGGGGGGAGCAAGCGUUGUCCGGAAUCAUUGGGCGUAAAGGGUGCGCAGGCGGGCUUGUAAGUCAGUGGUGAAAUACUGCCGCUCAACGGUAGGGCUGCCAUUGAUACUGCAUUUCUUGAGUAUGGUUGAGGUAGGCGGAAUGUGCGGUGUAGCGGUGAAAUGCAUAGAUAUCGCCCAGAACGCCGAUUGCGAAGGCAGCUUACUAAACCAUUACUGACGCUGAGGCACGAAAGCGUGGGUAGCGAACAGGAUUAGAUA